CUAUACUGCAAGUCGAGCGGACAGAUGGGAGCUUGCUCCCUGAUGUUAGCGGCGGACGGGUGAGUAACACGUGGGUAACCUGCCUGUAAGACUGGGAUAACUCCGGGAAACCGGGGCUAAUACCGGAUGGUUGUCUGAACCGCAUGGUUCAGACAUAAAAGGUGGCUUCGGCUACCACUUACAGAUGGACCCGCGGCGCAUUAGCUAGUUGGUGAGGUAACGGCUCACCAAGGCGACGAUGCGUAGCCGACCUGAGAGGGUGAUCGGCCACACUGGGACUGAGACACGGCCCAGACUCCUACGGGAGGCAGCAGUAGGGAAUCUUCCGCAAUGGACGAAAGUCUGACGGAGCAACGCCGCGUGAGUGAUGAAGGUUUUCGGAUCGUAAAGCUCUGUUGUUAGGGAAGAACAAGUGCCGUUCAAAUAGGGCGGCACCUUGACGGUACCUAACCAGAAAGCCACGGCUAACUACGUGCCAGCAGCCGCGGUAAUACGUAGGUGGCAAGCGUUGUCCGGAAUUAUUGGGCGUAAAGGGCUCGCAGGCGGUUUCUUAAGUCUGAUGUGAAAGCCCCCGGCUCAACCGGGGAGGGUCAUUGGAAACUGGGGAACUUGAGUGCAGAAGAGGAGAGUGGAAUUCCACGUGUAGCGGUGAAAUGCGUAGAGAUGUGGAGGAACACCAGUGGCGAAGGCGACUCUCUGGUCUGUAACUGACGCUGAGGAGCGAAAGCGUGGGGAGCGAACAGGAUUAGAUACCCUGGUAGUCCACGCCGUAAACGAUGAGUGCUAAGUGUUAGGGGUUUCCGCCCCUUAGUGCUGCAGCUAACGCAUUAAGCACUCCGCCUGGGGGAGUACGGUCGCAGACUGAAACUCAAGGAAUUGACGGGGCCGCACAGCAUGGA
Molecule: ribosomal RNA, 899 nt
Filed under: Bacillus amyloliquefaciens
Lineage: Bacteria; Bacillati; Bacillota; Bacilli; Caryophanales; Bacillaceae
Description: bacterial SSU rRNA
Rfam family: Bacterial small subunit ribosomal RNA
Source: RNAcentral